Molecule: long non-coding RNA, 711 nt
Organism: Ochotona curzoniae (black-lipped pika)
Lineage: Eukaryota; Metazoa; Chordata; Mammalia; Lagomorpha; Ochotonidae
Exons: 7
Source: RefSeq, a predicted model, not a curated record
AACACUCGCUUGUUUGAACUUUAAUGAAAACGGCGCUGGCAACAGGACCGGCAGAUUCUGUAGUAAUUUGAAUGUUGAGGCCGGGAGGCGGGCCUAGAAGAUGUAAAGGGUUUGUCAGACGGGAAAUUGUCGUGCAGCUCCUCGUUAGUAUAGUGACCUUUUGAAAUCCCCUGGCAUUUUCAGGAUGAGGAGAAAUUAGCCCACCUGUGCUGCUCACCUAAGGAUGAUGUCUCCAAAUUCCUGUUCAGUGUCUGAAGAUCCCCCACAAGCCAAGAACAAAACAAAACAAAAAAGAAAUUCAAUUUAAACCCGGGAUAGGAUCUGAAUAGGCGUUUCUCCAGACAAGCAAUCUGCAGCCUGACUGAAGGCAUUGAGUCCAGGGUUGACGACAUGGCAGCAGCUGGAGGGUGAGGAUGAGAAGAAAGGAAGCAUCAGCCUGAGUGAAGGGAAAGUAGAAUCUAAACUCCUUGAGGGCAGAGACGUAGCCUGGAUAAGGCCUGCCCUGAAGAAGGCACUUGAGAAUGGACCACUCACUAAGGAUGGAUCAAGGUUGUUGCAUCAGCCUGAGAAGCAAGCUGGCUCAAAAGGAUGGCCCUGUCACCAGCUAAACAGAGGAUAGAGCCUGUGGGAGAAGUUGUCCUUGGAGGGUGGCCCCUGUGAGGGGAGCAGAACAGAGCGGCUCAGUAAGCAUCCUGGGGACCUGAAGCAUCA